Molecule: ribosomal RNA, 495 nt
Filed under: uncultured bacterium
Lineage: Bacteria
Description: partial 16S ribosomal RNA
Rfam family: Bacterial small subunit ribosomal RNA
Source: RNAcentral
GAUGAACGCUGGCGGCGUGCUUAACACAUGCAAGUCGAACGAAGCACCUCUCCCGUAGCUUGUCUCAUCUUGCUGUCGAAUGAUUCAUUUACGCGUAGUGAGCCUACCACUGGUGCGGAACGCGUGGGUAACCUGCCUCGUUGAUAGGGACAACAAUUUGGAACCACUUCUAAUACAGCAGAGUAAGAGGAAUUCGGAUGCUUUUUUCUUGAAAGAUUGAUCGUUAUCAGAUGGAUCCGCAACGGAUUAGCUAGUAGGUAAGGUAACGGCUUACCAAGGGGAGGACCAGUAGCCGGCAUGGGAGAGAGAACGGCCACAUUGGGGCGGAGACACGGCACAGACUCCUACGGGAGGGAGCAGUGGGGAAUAGUGCAAAAUGGGGGAAACCCUGAUGCAGCGACGACGCGAGAGUGAAGAAGUAUGUCGGUAUGUAAAGCUCAAUCAGCAGGGAAGAUAAUGACGGUACCUGACUAAGAAGCCCCGGCUAACUACGUG